This 464-nucleotide ribosomal RNA is filed under the name Vreelandella stevensii. RNAcentral's name for it is "partial 16S ribosomal RNA". It matches the Rfam family "Bacterial small subunit ribosomal RNA", at positions 338 to 795 of the family's 1533-position model. Lineage: Bacteria; Pseudomonadati; Pseudomonadota; Gammaproteobacteria; Oceanospirillales; Halomonadaceae. The record is from RNAcentral.
CCUACGGGGGGCUGCAGUGGGGAAUAUUGGACAAUGGGCGAAAGCCUGAUCCAGCCAUGCCGCGUGUGUGAAGAAGGCCUUCGGGUUGUAAAGCACUUUCAGUGGGGAAGAAAGCCUUGGGGCUAAUACCCUCGAGGAAGGACAUCACCCACAGAAGAAGCACCGGCUAACUCCGUGCCAGCAGCCGCGGUAAUACGGAGGGUGCGAGCGUUAAUCGGAAUUACUGGGCGUAAAGCGCGCGUAGGCGGUCUGAUAAGCCGGUUGUGAAAGCCCCGGGCUCAACCUGGGAACGGCAUCCGGAACUGUCAGGCUAGAGUGCAGGAGAGGAAGGUAGAAUUCCCGGUGUAGCGGUGAAAUGCGUAGAGAUCGGGAGGAAUACCAGUGGCGAAGGCGGCCUUCUGGACUGACACUGACGCUGAGGUGCGAAAGCGUGGGUAGCAAACAGGAUUAGAUACAGAGUAGUC